CCUACGGGAGGCAGCAGUGGGGGAUAUUGCACAAUGGGGGAAACCCUGAUGCAGCGACGCCGCGUGUGGGAAGACGGUCCUCUGGAUUGUAAACCACUGUUCUCAAGGACGAAAAUGACGGUACCUGGGGAGGAAGCUCCGGCUAACUACGUGCCAGCAGCCGGGGUAAUAGGUAGGGGCCGGGGGUUGUCCGGAUUUACUGGGGGAAAGGGGAGCUUAGGGGGGGAUGAAGGUCGUGUGUAAAGACUACCGGCUAAACUGAGAGUCGCACUCUAAACUGUAGUUCUUGAGUGAAGGAGAGGCAGGCGGAAUUCCUGGUGUAGCGGUGAAAUGCGUAGAUAUUAGGAGGAACACCAGUGGCGAAGGCGGCCUGCUAGGCUUUUACUGACGCUGAGGCUCGAAAGUGUGGGGAGCAAACAGGAUUAGAUACCCGUGUAGUC
RNAcentral lists this ribosomal RNA (440 nucleotides) under uncultured bacterium. Its description in RNAcentral is "partial 16S ribosomal RNA". It matches the Rfam family "Bacterial small subunit ribosomal RNA", at positions 338 to 795 of the family's 1533-position model. The record is from RNAcentral.